Molecule: ribosomal RNA, 500 nt
Filed under: uncultured bacterium
Lineage: Bacteria
Description: partial 16S ribosomal RNA
Rfam family: Bacterial small subunit ribosomal RNA
Source: RNAcentral
AUUGAACGCUGGCGGAAUGCUUUACACAUGCAAGUCGAACGGCAGCACGGACUUCGGUCUGGUGGCAAGUGGCGAACGGGUGAGUAACAUAUCGGAACAUAUCCAAUAAUGGGGGAUAACUAAUCGAAAGGUUGGCUAAUACCGCAUACGCCCUACGGGGGAAAGCAGGGGAUCUUCGGACCUUGCGUUAAUGGAGCGGCUGAUAUCUGAUUAGCUAGUUGGUGAGGUAAAGGCUCACCAAGGCGACGAUCAGUAGCUGGUCUGAGAGGACGACCAGCCACACUGGAACUGAGACACGGUCCAGACUCCUACGGGAGGCAGCAGUGGGGAAUUUUGGACAAUGGGCGCAAGCCUGAUCCAGCCAUUCCGCGUGGGUGAAGAAGGCCUUCGGGUUGUAAAGCUCUUUCGCAAGGGAAGAAAACUUACUUUCUAAUAAAGAGUGAGGUUGACGGUACCUUGAUAAGAAGCACCGGCUAACUACGUGCCAGCAGCCGCCGUAA